Molecule: ribosomal RNA, 494 nt
Filed under: uncultured bacterium
Lineage: Bacteria
Description: partial 16S ribosomal RNA
Rfam family: Bacterial small subunit ribosomal RNA
Source: RNAcentral
GACGAACGCUGGCGGCGCGCUUAACACAUGCAAGUCGAACGGAAAGGCCUGCUUUCCCUUGUGGAUUGCGGGUACUCGAGUGGCGAACGGGUGAGUAACACGUGCGUUAUCUUCCCCCAACUUUGGUAUAAGCCUGGGAAACUGGGUCUAAUUCCCGAUAGGACUGCAGGGUGGUUCCUGUGGUGGAAAACGAUUUUCUAGUGGUUGGGGAUGAGCUCGCGGCCUAUCAGCUUGUUGGUGGGGUAAUGGCCUACCAAGGCGGCGACGGGUAGCCUGCCUGGGAGGGUGGACGGCCACGUUGGGACUGAGAUACGGCCAAGACUACUACGGGAGGCAGCAGUGGGGAAUAAUGCACGAGGGGCGGAAGCCGGAUGCAGCGACGCCGCGUGGGGGAUGACGGCCUUCGGGUGGUAAACUCCUUUCGACAGAGAGGAAGCCACCUGGUUGGAAGGGUGGUGACGGUAGUGGUAGAAGAAGCACCGGCUAACUACGUG